UUUCAGCUGCACCUGCGCGUGAAACUGCUUCGUGACCUUUUGUUUUGGUUUUGGCUGAAGCCUGGAGGGCUGCUUUGCUAGCUGAUCACGACCAGUAAUGUGCCUAUUUCAGUGUGCGCGUUUGAUUUGUUAAAGAGCUUUAUGUCGUGUUAUCGUGCUCUGCUUCAGUUGCUGCACUUCCAUUUGAGCGAAAUUAUGUAACUUUAUAGGGUGCAGACUGCUAAAUUUGUGCGAUGUGCCUAAUGCAAUUGUGGCCACUAAAAUUAAAGGGGUACGACUGCACAGAACACGGCAGAUGUUGCGCCGAAAGUAGACACGUGCAUUAGCGCAAAUGGAAACUGCGUAGGAAGCGUGGCUCCAUUGAAUUACCAGUCAUGCGAUUCGCUCAUUACCGAUGCAACAAGCGUGGCUCAUUUCACGUGAUGCAUCAAAGUGAAAUUUGUAAAAAAAUAUUUCUUGGCGUCUGUAUGAAGGGCUGCUGCGCACCAAGUUCUCCCGCUGUUCCCCCACAUCUCCAGCUCCCAGUAGAUGACUGCGCGAAGGGCGUGUCCGCUCUCCGUGGUCUAGCUUUCCUGAGUCACCGUCACGCUCUCCGCGUUCGCUGUUCGUGGCUGGCAAAAGCUGGCCGAGGGCUGGGCCGAGCCAGCUGUGUCCACUCCAGCCCUGCCUGUUUCCGGGGAGAACCGGCUCCCCGCGGCUAUCGGAGACGCA
Molecule: long non-coding RNA, 711 nt
Organism: Anguilla anguilla (European eel)
Lineage: Eukaryota; Metazoa; Chordata; Actinopteri; Anguilliformes; Anguillidae
Exons: 3
Source: RefSeq, a predicted model, not a curated record